AGAAUCAACGCUGGCGGCGUGCCUAACACAUGCAAGUCGCACGAGAAAGGGUAGCAAUACCUGAGUACAGUGGCGCACGGGUGAGUAACACGUGAAUAAUCUACCUCCGAGUGGGGAAUAACUGAGAGAAAUCUUAGCUAAUACCGCAUAACACUUACGAGUCAAAGCAGCAAUGCGCUUGGAGAGGAGUUCGCGGCAGAUUAGUUAGUUGGCGGGGUAAUGGCCCACCAAGACGAUGAUCUGUAUCCGGCCUGAGAGGGCGCACGGACACACUGGAACUGAAACACGGUCCAGACUCCUACGGGAGGCAGCAGUGGGGAAUUUUGCGCAAUGGGGGAAACCCUGACGCAGCAACGCCGCGUGGAGGAUGAAAUAUCUUGGUAUGUAAACUCCUUUCGAUGGGGAAGAUUAUGACGGUACCAUAGAGAAGCCCGGCUAACUUCGCGCCAGCAGCCGCGGUAA
Molecule: ribosomal RNA, 462 nt
Filed under: uncultured bacterium
Lineage: Bacteria
Description: SSU rRNA
Rfam family: Bacterial small subunit ribosomal RNA
Source: RNAcentral